RNAcentral lists this non-coding RNA (202 nucleotides) under Alistipes sp. Lineage: Bacteria; Pseudomonadati; Bacteroidota; Bacteroidia; Bacteroidales; Rikenellaceae. The record is from RNAcentral.
GUAACUUUGCACCGCAAAGGUUCACAAAGGGUCGGGCAGACCCGGCGUGAUGAAAAGGGAAUGCCGUGAAAAUCGGCAGCAGUUCCCGCUGCUGUAAGUCCCGUAAGGAGGUUGCGACACGCUUUGGCCACUGGUCCCGCAGGACCGGGAAGGCGUUGCAACCGGGACGAGCCAGAAGACCUGCCUUGCACUUCCCGUCGGG